AUAUCUUACAUUAUGAAACGGAGGUAGUAGCUGUUAGAUGGCAAUAGGCCCUGCAUUCUACCUUCUUUUGCAUUCUCAGACAAUAAACUAUGAGUAUUAAGUGUGAUGGUAUUUGGUAGAUGGUAAUAGGCUUGUGUUAGCCUACUUUUGUAUCUAAACCAAUCACUUUGUUGGAUCUAAUGGCUGAUGGUAAAAUUUAUAUUUGGUGGUAUAUGCUUGCUCCCCU
Molecule: long non-coding RNA, 226 nt
Filed under: Oryza brachyantha (malo sina)
Lineage: Eukaryota; Viridiplantae; Streptophyta; Magnoliopsida; Poales; Poaceae
Description: long non-coding RNA (OBRA_LNC001734)
Source: RNAcentral